RNAcentral lists this ribosomal RNA (750 nucleotides) under uncultured Alphaproteobacteria bacterium. Its description in RNAcentral is "bacterial SSU rRNA". It matches the Rfam family "Bacterial small subunit ribosomal RNA", at positions 98 to 884 of the family's 1533-position model. The record is from RNAcentral. Lineage: Bacteria; Pseudomonadati; Pseudomonadota; Alphaproteobacteria.
GCGGACGGGUGAAUAACGCGUGGGAACGUGCCCUUCGGUCUGGAAUAACCCAGGGAAACUUGGGCUAAUACCGGAUACGCCCUUAGGGGGAAAGGUUUACCGCUGAAGGAGCGGCCCGCGUCCGAUUAGCUAGUUGGUGUGGUAACGGCGCACCAAGGCGACGAUCGGUAGCUGGUCUGAGAGGAUGAUCAGCCACACUGGGACUGAGACACGGCCCAGACUCCUACGGGAGGCAGCAGUGGGGAAUAUUGGACAAUGGGGGCAACCCUGAUCCAGCCAUGCCGCGUGAGUGAUGAAGGCCUUAGGGUUGUAAAGCUCUUUCGCCCACGACGAUAAUGACGGUAGUGGGAGAAGAAGCCCCGGCUAACUUCGUGCCAGCAGCCGCGGUAAUACGAAGGGGGCUAGCGUUGCUCGGAAUCACUGGGCGUAAAGCGUACGUAGGCGGACUUUUAAGUCGGGGGUGAAAUCCCAGGGCUCAACCCUGGAACUGCCUUCGAUACUGGGAGUCUUGAGUCCGGGAGAGGUUGGUGGAACUCCGAGUGUAGAGGUGAAAUUCGUAGAUAUUCGGAAGAACACCAGUGGCGAAGGCGGCCAACUGGCCCGGUACUGACGCUGAGGUACGAAAGCGUGGGGAGCAAGCAGGAUUAGAUACCCUGGUAGUCCACGCUGUAAACGAUGGAUGCCAGCCGUUGGGCAGCUUGCUGCUCAGUGGCGCAGCUAACGCUUUAAGCAUCCCGCCUGGGGAGUACG